This 1730-nucleotide ribosomal RNA is filed under the name Klebsiella pneumoniae subsp. pneumoniae. Its description in RNAcentral is "bacterial LSU rRNA". It matches the Rfam family "Bacterial large subunit ribosomal RNA", at positions 1 to 1767 of the family's 2925-position model. The record is from RNAcentral. Lineage: Bacteria; Pseudomonadati; Pseudomonadota; Gammaproteobacteria; Enterobacterales; Enterobacteriaceae.
GGGUUGUGAGGUUAAGCGACUAAGCGUACACGGUGGAUGCCCUGGCAGUCAGAGGCGAUGAAGGACGUGCUAAUCUGCGAAAAGCGUCGGUAAGGUGAUAUGAACCGUUAUAGCCGGCGAUGUCCGAAUGGGGAAACCCAGUGCAAUUCGUUGCACUAUCGUUAACUGAAUACAUAGGUUAACGAGGCGAACCGGGGGAACUGAAACAUCUAAGUACCCCGAGGAAAAGAAAUCAACCGAGAUUCCCCCAGUAGCGGCGAGCGAACGGGGAGCAGCCCAGAGUCUGAAUCAGCUUGUGUGUUAGUGGAACGGUCUGGAAAGUCCGACGGUACAGGGUGAUAGUCCCGUACACCAAAAUGCACAGGUUGUGAACUCGAAGAGUAGGGCGGGACACGUGGUAUCCUGUCUGAAUAUGGGGGGACCAUCCUCCAAGGCUAAAUACUCCUGACUGACCGAUAGUGAACCAGUACCGUGAGGGAAAGGCGAAAAGAACCCCGGCGAGGGGAGUGAAAAAGAACCUGAAACCGUGUACGUACAAGCAGUGGGAGCACCUUCGGGUGUGACUGCGUACCUUUUGUAUAAUGGGUCAGCGACUUAUAUUCUGUAGCAAGGUUAACCGUAUAGGGGAGCCGCAGGGAAACCGAGUCUUAACUGGGCGUUAAGUUGCAGGGUAUAGACCCGAAACCCGGUGAUCUAGCCAUGGGCAGGUUGAAGGUUGGGUAACACUAACUGGAGGACCGAACCGACUAAUGUUGAAAAAUUAGCGGAUGACUUGUGGCUGGGGGUGAAAGGCCAAUCAAACCGGGAGAUAGCUGGUUCUCCCCGAAAGCUAUUUAGGUAGCGCCUCGUGAAUUCAUCUUCGGGGGUAGAGCACUGUUUCGGCUAGGGGGUCAUCCCGACUUACCAACCCGAUGCAAACUACGAAUACCGAAGAAUGUUAUCACGGGAGACACACGGCGGGUGCUAACGUCCGUCGUGAAGAGGGAAACAACCCAGACCGCCAGCUAAGGUCCCAAAGUCAUGGUUAAGUGGGAAACGAUGUGGGAAGGCACAGACAGCCAGGAUGUUGGCUUAGAAGCAGCCAUCAUUUAAAGAAAGCGUAAUAGCUCACUGGUCGAGUCGGCCUGCGCGGAAGAUGUAACGGGGCUAAACCAUGCACCGAAGCUGCGGCAGCGACACUAUGUGUUGUUGGGUAGGGGAGCGUUCUGUAAGCCUGCGAAGGUGACCUGUGAGGGUUGCUGGAGGUAUCAGAAGUGCGAAUGCUGACAUAAGUAACGAUAAAGCGGGUGAAAAGCCCGCUCGCCGGAAGACCAAGGGUUCCUGUCCAACGUUAAUCGGGGCAGGGUGAGUCGACCCCUAAGGCGAGGCCGAAAGGCGUAGUCGAUGGGAAACAGGUUAAUAUUCCUGUACUUGGUGUUACUGCGAAGGGGGGACGGAGAAGGCUAUGUUAGCCGGGCGACGGUUGUCCCGGUUUAAGCAUGUAGGCUGGUUGUCCAGGCAAAUCCGGAUAAUCAAGGCUGAGGUGUGAUGACGAGGCACUACGGUGCUGAAGUAACAAAUGCCCUGCUUCCAGGAAAAGCCUCUAAGCAUCAGGUAACAUCAAAUCGUACCCCAAACCGACACAGGUGGUCAGGUAGAGAAUACCAAGGCGCUUGAGAGAACUCGGGUGAAGGAACUAGGCAAAAUGGUGCCGUAACUUCGGGAGAAGGCACGCUGGUGUGUAGGUGAAG